UGAUAUACGCUCUGUUUCUCUCUCAAAUUUCGCUGAGCAUCUCUGAAUAACUCUGAUCACUUUAUAUAUUAACAGAAAACUAAAAUUAUAGAAUACUCUGUGAUCUCUCUCUGUCUUUAGCAUUUUCUAUAUUUCUUUGUAGAGGUAGAGCGGUGACCAAGUGAGUGCUUGGAGUCACAUAUAAAAGCAACAAAUCAAGAAACAGAGUAACGCACGCUCUAUAGAACUUGGCGUCUCUCUCGGUUUUUGCUCGGCAAUGUAGCUCUCUGACAAAAUUUGGUUGCAAAAUGGCUCGGAAUAACAUUGGAUCCCUAAUCCUUGAGCACUCUCCCUCCACCAAUGCCUCAGCUGGUAGUCAUUUCCGACUAUGGACUGCCUUCUCUGGUGCUGCAUUCCGCCGUAAAAUCUUUGACGCUGUUAGCUGUGGUGGAAGCUCCCGUUAUCGCCAUCAUGAGGACAACUUUUCCUCCACUACAACAUCAAGCGCCUCCACGAUAACCACAACUACAUCCACCGCCACCACUACAUGUGAGACGACGAAGCUGGCUUUGAAUAAUAACCACAAUGUGAGUGAGAAAAAGGCAGGAAAACCGAGAAACGGAAAGUCGGAGAAGUUAUCGGAUCUGUUGAGUAUUGCAGAGGCGGAGACUGAAAUAGAGACGAGGAAAAAAGUCGAGGCGUUUGAGGAGCUGAAACGAGCGGUGAAGGAAUUGCAGCUCGAGAGCGAAACGAAGAGGAAAGAAGCUGCUUCUCGUGUAAGAUUGCUGGCCAAGGAAGAUUCCGGAGCGAGAGUCACUCUUUCUAUGUUAGGAGCCAUCCCUCCAUUAGUUGGAAUGCUUGAUGAGGAAGACAUUGAAUCGCAGAUCGCUUCUCUCUAUGCCUUGCUUAAUCUAGGGAUCGGCAAUGAUGCGAACAAAGCUGCGAUUGUUAAAGCAGGGGCUGUUCACAAAAUGUUGAAGAUCAUAGAAUCCCCAAAUCCUCCAAACACAUCUGUGUCCGAAGCAAUAGUGGCCAAUUUUCUUGGUUUGAGCGCAUUAGACUCGAAUAAACCCAUUAUAGGUUCUUCAGGUGCAAUCCCCUUCUUGGUAAAUGCCCUCAAGAAUUCGGACCAUAAAAGUAGCACUCAAGCAAAACAAGAUGCUCUUAGAGCUCUUUACAAUCUUUCAAUACACUCAUCUAAUGUUUCAUUUAUUGUAGAAACAAAUUUGAUUCCAUUUCUCAUGAGUACACUAGGGGACAUGGAAAUAAGUGAAAGAAUUCUUUCGAUUUUGAGCAAUGUAGUGUCAACCCCUGAAGGUAGAAAGGGCAUUAGCAUUGUGCCAGAUUCUUUCCCAAUUUUGAUAGAUAUUUUGAAUUGGACCGACUCACCCGGAUGCCAAGAGAAAGCAUCUUACAUAUUGAUGGUGAUGGCACAUAAGGCAUAUGGGGAUCGGCAGGCCAUGAUCGAAGCAGGAAUUGUAUCAUCAUUGCUUGAGUUAACGCUUUUGGGUAGCACAUUAGCACAGAAAAGAGCUUCAAGGAUUCUGGAAUUUUUAAGAGUAGAUAAGGGAAAGCAAGUCUCAGAGAACUAUGGUGGGAAUUUGGGCGCAACAGUUUCUGCUCCUAUUUAUGGUUCAUCAUCUUCUGCAAAUCCUAAUGGGAUUGCAAAGGAGUCUUUGGAGGAGACAGAAGAUAUGAUGAGUGAGGAAAAGAAAGCAGUGAAACAAUUAGUACAACAGAGUUUGCAGAGCAAUAUGAGGAGAAUUGUCAAGAGGGCCAAUUUACCACAAGACUUUGUUCCGUCAGAGCAUUUUAAGUCCCUCACAUCAAGCUCAACCUCCAAGAGUUUACCAUUUUGAGGAGAUUGGAUGUAGCCAGACAGGCGUGGAGAUAAAAGGGAUUGCAUCUUGAAGUGAAGGAAGAGGAAAGAAGAAUCUAGGCUGAGUUGUCUUGCUUAUAAAAAUGUUAUAUGGGAAGAUUAGAAGGUAAAUUUUAAACAUAUUUGAUGGGAACUCCACUGCUGUAGAGAAGGUCAUAAAAAGUAGGUGCUGCAGCUAAAUUAUUUUGAGCACUGCGAUACCUUUAAUGUUAAAUUGUAGCAGUUUUAUAUUUUCGAUUCUGGUAAAACUGUCUUAUCCCUUGCUGGUUGAAGUUUAAGGCUAUAAGCCCCAUAGGUUGUUACUAGGUUAUGACUUGUUAUACAGCUGUUUUAGCUCUUCAUCUAACAGGGUUAAUAGCAAGUGAUGCUUUUCAUUGAAUACUAGCGCAAGCUGCUGGAGCGGGUGACGGAAGAUACAUAGAUGAUUAUUGGGAGUUAUGGUGGCAGGUUUGCAGAUCGAUGAAGAUAAGAAAAUUGUCGCCUAUCUGCUCUUUUAUUUUGUUGAAAAUUGAAACUUUUGAAGGCCACUUUUUCAUCUUUGAUUCUGCACACAGGAGAAAAAAGAGAAGGAAGUAAUAAUUGAUUGUACUAGGAUAGUAACGAGGGGUUGCCCGGUGGGUCUAGUUGUUGUCUUCACUUUCCAGUGGCCAGUAUUGGGUAAAAAUGACGACUUUGCCCAGCUCGUGAAUAAAAAUCGAAAAAGAAAGGAAAAGGUUAAAUA
Molecule: RNA transcript, 2579 nt
Organism: Jatropha curcas
Lineage: Eukaryota; Viridiplantae; Streptophyta; Magnoliopsida; Malpighiales; Euphorbiaceae
Gene name: U-box domain-containing protein 17
Source: RefSeq, a predicted model, not a curated record